RNAcentral lists this non-coding RNA (217 nucleotides) under Absidia glauca. RNAcentral describes it as "Eukaryotic large subunit ribosomal RNA". It matches the Rfam family "Eukaryotic large subunit ribosomal RNA", at positions 1449 to 1661 of the family's 3401-position model. Lineage: Eukaryota; Fungi; Mucoromycota; Mucoromycetes; Mucorales; Cunninghamellaceae. The record is from Rfam by way of RNAcentral.
UCUUGGUGGUAGUAGCAAAUAUUCAAAUGAGAUCUUUGAAGACUGAAGUGGAGAAAGGUUCCUAGAGAACAGUAGUUGGUCUAGGGUUAGUCGCUCCUAAGAGAUAGGAAAGUUCUGUUUUAAAUCGGCCUUUAUUGGCCGGGCCUAUCGAAAGGGAAGCUGGUUAAGAUUCCAGCACUAGGACGAGGAAUUUAGGCGGUAACGGCCAAAGAACUUG